Molecule: ribosomal RNA, 492 nt
Filed under: uncultured bacterium
Lineage: Bacteria
Description: partial 16S ribosomal RNA
Rfam family: Bacterial small subunit ribosomal RNA
Source: RNAcentral
AGUGAACGCUGGCGGUAGGCCUAACACAUGCAAGUCGAACGGCAGCACAGUAAGAGCUUGCUCUUACGGGUGGCGAGUGGCGGACGGGUGCGGAAUACAUCGGAAUCUACUUUUUCGUGGGGGAGAACGUAGGGAAACUUACGCUAAUACCGCAUACGACCUACGGGUGAAAGCAGGGGAUCUUCGGACCUUGCGCGAUUGAAUGAGCCGAUGUCGGAUUAGCUAGUUGGCGGGGUAAAGGCCCACCAAGGCGACGAUCCGUAGCUGGUCUGAGAGGAUGAUCAGCCACACUGGAACUGAGACACGGUCCAGACUCCUACGGGAGGCAGCAGUGGGGAAUAUUGGACAAUGGGCGCAAGCCUGAUCCAGCCAUACCGCGUGGGUGAAGAAGGCCUUCGGGUUGUAAAGCCCUUUUGUUGGGAAAGAAAAGCAGCAGGUUAAUACCCCGCUGUUCUGACGGUACCCAAAGAAUAAGCACCGGCUAACUUCGUG